UUUUUUUUUUGUCUUUUUUUGUCUUUUUGCUAUUUCUUUGGGCCGCUCCUUGGCAUUUGGAGGUUCCCAGGCUAGGGGUCGAAUCGGAGCUGUAGCCACUGGCCUACGCCAGAGCCACAGCAACACGGGAUCCGAGCCGCGUCUGCAACCUACACCACAGCUCAUGGCAACGCCGGAUCGUUAACCCACUGAGCAAGGGCAAGGAGCGAACCGCAACCUCAUGGUUCCUAGUCGGAUUCGUUAACCACUGCACCAUGAUGGGAACUCCGGGUUAUUAUUUUUAUUGUUAUUUCUGAGGUCCAGUUUUCCAGAGGGGUGGGAGCAACAUGUCCCACAAUCAAGUUUUUGGCCACAAGUUUGGUUACAAAGAAGAAGAACUGAGCAAUUAAGUAAAUACACUGGAAAUAAUGGGAAUUAGGUUUCUAACUAUAGGUUUCUAACUAUCAGAGAAAGAAGUUACAAGUAUGGAAAGGUAGAAGGCUAGGAAAAGAACAAUUUUGGAUUGGAAUUAUCAGUGUGAACUCAUUUUUUAUAACACUGUAAUAGAGAUACAAAAAACAGUAAAUAUGUGUAGAUGUGCAUACUUCCUAAAAUGUAUAUGCUAAGAGGCCCUAGAAGCAAUAAUACCUCAGUAGCAAUAAGCAUACCUAGAGUGCAGAUAAACAAUGCUUUGCAUUAAAGGGAGCCAAUGCUCCUUAAAGAAAUGGCUGGCUCCCACAGCUAAGACAGAAAAUUCAGGAGUCAAGCCUAAAACAUCUAGCCAUGCCAAAAAGUUCAGGAAGAACACAAAAAAAUGAUAAGGACAUGUCAAAAGAACACAGGAACUAGCUUUAAGCAGCUUCCACCAGCCAAGUCCAGAACAAUUUAAAUAAAUAAUAAAUCAUAACCCACUGAGGAAAAUAAGAAAACCAUCCUAAAGUAAAUGAAUAGGGAAAGCUCUUCCCUACUAUACAAUGCCAACUAAUAAAUCUAGAAGAAAUGAUGAAGUCAGAAAAGUCAUCAUUUGGCACCUUUCAUAAUAUAAUACCUGAUUCAGGUAAAAUCAUUAAUAGAAGCUAAAACAUGACAGUUUGAUGGAAAUAGGAUAUUACAAAGUCUCAAAGUAUCUUCCAAAAAAAUAUUAGUACAACUUACUUAUUAAUUAUAAGGUCAAAAAACCUGACAGACACCAUCUUAUCAAAGUGAUAAAAGUUAAACAUUACCAGCAAUAGGAAACCAACCUUUUUCCUAAUAUGCCCUAAAAAGAACACAGUAUCACAUGGAUGGCACUAGAGCCCCAAAAGGCACAAAACACAAGAAAAUAUGAGGCAAACCCUUACUGAAGGACAGUCUACAAAGUAACUAGCUUAUACUCUUCAAAAAUGCCAAGGUCACGAAAGACAAAGAAAAACCAAGGAACUGUUCCAGAUUGAAGGAGACUAAAAAGGCAAUUAAAUGUAACGCAGGAUCUGGGAUUAGAUCCUGGACCUGUAAACAACAUUAUCGAGAGAAUCCACAAAAUGUGAAUGAGUUCUAUGGGAUUAAAUGGUAAUAUUCAAUCCAUGUUAACUGCCUGAUUUUGAAAGUUGUACUGUGGCUAUGUAGGAGAGUGUUCUUUAUUUAGGAAAGAACUCUGAAGUACAAAGUGCUCAAAGUCUUUAACAGAUUCUCAUUAUACUGAAAACUACAUCCACAAAAUGUGGCUUACCUGACCAUCAUUCAACUCCCCAUCCUUAUCUCAGAAUAUUCACUAUACAUUCUAGUCACUAAAAUUCUAUGCUCUCUCUCGGCUCAGCACCUUCAUCCAUUUUUUCUCUGUACUUGGAAACUUUCUCAUCAAAAUUUCCCAUUUUUCUUGUCCUUAUUCAUUCACUCAUUCAACAAAGAUACACUAAGAGUUACUGUGCACCAGAGGAGAGAUGUGGGUAGUAGCCAACAGUCAGUUUCAUUCUUUGCCCCAGUGACACUCAAAUUCCGGCACACCCUUCUCUCCUCCCAGAGAGUCCGGCCACCUCAUGUAGGUGUUUGGCACAGCUGACAGGACACAAGGCAAUCUGCUGAGUCAUGAAUCACCAAUCUGAGAUUCCACCAUUCACUGCCAAGGCACUGCCAAGUAGAAUGCCCAAUGCAGAGGUGGCACCAGAGGAAGCCCUGGGUGGCAGUGAGGCAUGGCCACUGGCCAGGGAGGCAGAUACUGGGAAUAAAGGGGACAUCCUAGCUAGGUGUUCAAGGCUCACGGUGCCAAUCUGCUAGAAGAAAGCCUGUGGACCAUAAAGAAACAGGCAGCUGGGCAAGCCUUAUUUUGCUGACCUCUGCUCUAAAGAGAACAAGGAAGCAAGUAGUAGUAGAUGAAGAAACAUCCUGGAGGCUGAGCUCUCUAUCUCCUUUCUCCCUGCCUCCACUCUCCUGUCUAAAAUUUGGGUAUGACUGCUAUCUGGACCUGGAGAACAAGGAUUCCAGGUUUUACAGAGCACACCACUGGAAGAAGUCUAAGCCUGAUGAACUUCACAGAACCACUCUACCAUGGCUGGACUAUCAGAACUACCCACCUACUAACUUUUUACACAGGAGUAAAAUCAUAUUUACCUCACUGAUCAUUUGAGAUCUACCACAUACAGCUGAAUCCAAUCCUAAUGCAGUACAACAGAUGAUAGAAAACUAAAACAUACAUUAUUAAAAAAAAAACCUGUAUAUAUGAUUGUUGAGAUCCUAAACCUCCACGCCCCCACCCAACCCCCAAUCAAAUUUAAGAAAGCUGUCGACCAGGCUUUUUCAUGGAGGGAGACUGGAAGUCACUGAAGUGACACUAAUCACUACAAAACACAUGGAAGCUGAUAUCUGGAGCU
This 2825-nucleotide long non-coding RNA is filed under the name Sus scrofa (pig). Its description in RNAcentral is "lncRNA (ENSSSCG00005019412.1)". Lineage: Eukaryota; Metazoa; Chordata; Mammalia; Artiodactyla; Suidae. The record is from RNAcentral.